GUCUAUUAAUGGCAGAAGUGUUUCGUUUUCAGAUGCCAUCCGAACCACUUUACUUUGUGGCGUUAUUGGUAUUAUUUGUGAUUACUAAUAGAUGGACAGCACGGUUGUUAUAUCCUCCGAUAAGCAAUUGCAGUGCUAUUUGGGCUUCCUAAGUAAGUGUAUGACUGGGUAUUUGGUUCAAAGGAUGUCCAGUUGUUUGUCCCGAUCCCGCAUAAUCACGGGGUAUGAAGCACAGUUUAUCGCAUCCCAGCCCACGGAUAUGCAGAAAGCCUCCAGGCUGAUGCAGAUUGUCAUUAAAAAAGGCCAAAAUGCAUGCAGUUCGUUCCUCAGAUGCCUUGGAAUUUGUGACCCGGUGUUGUAUGAGAAUAUUACAGGAUUUCCAGCACAAUUUAAGCAAGAGGACCAUCAACAUGUAGAGGAAAUUCCUUUUUCAGAAAAAUUGAAGUUUACACCUUGUAUUAUAAACAUACAAAACUCUUCCCUGACCAACUGUAUUAUUGGGAACAACAAUAGCCAAUGCAUUACCUGUGACCAGCAUUCUUUGCUCACUCAGAAUGAUGCAAACAGUGUGAAUGAAAUGGCGGACAGUCAGAGCCAUGAUCAACUGAUCCCAGCGCAGGAUACAAUAAGUGGCAGCAGCGUUCACAUGGAGAGAUCCAACAUAGAGUAUGUUAUUAUAGGUGACCGUAACAGUAUGACAGUCACUGAGAACUCGGAGGUUGAGGAAGAUACAGAGAUUGAGCCUGAAGAGAUUAGGUAAAAGCUGUGAAAUAGUGGGCAGGAGGUCAGACCCACAGUUUUGGAGAGCUGCAGAUUGUCAACUCGCCUUAACAGGCCUGACCUAUGAUUGUACACUGGAAGCAUAAUAUAUGCUUUAAACUGACCAAUGCUCAGGUCUUCAGCAGGAGCUACCAAGCACACUGAAACAUUAUCCUUUAUCGUGGAUUUUCUAAACCUGUGUGCCUUGAGGUGGCAAUGAUAUUUGAUACUGCUUUAAUUGCUACUGAACAUGACUACUACUGACGGUUUUAAUGGGUACACCAA
RNAcentral lists this long non-coding RNA (1044 nucleotides) under Sinocyclocheilus grahami. RNAcentral describes it as "lncRNA (ENSSGRG00000049098.1)". The record is from RNAcentral. Lineage: Eukaryota; Metazoa; Chordata; Actinopteri; Cypriniformes; Cyprinidae.